This is a non-coding RNA of Schistosoma rodhaini, 48 nucleotides long. The record is from Rfam. NCBI's taxonomy places the organism in Eukaryota, Metazoa, Platyhelminthes, Trematoda, Strigeidida, Schistosomatidae.
AUCCAGCUGACGAGUCCCAAAUAGGACGAAAGGUGUAUCAAACUGGAU